CCUACGGGUGGCAGCAGUGGGGGAUAUUGCACAAUGGGGGGAACCCUGAUGCAGCGACGCCGCGUGGGUGAAGGAGGGCUUCGGCAUGUAAAGCACUAUCGGCAGGGAAGAAGCCAGACGGUACCUGACUAAGAAGCACCGACUAACUACGUGCCAGCAGCCGCGGUAAAACGGAGGGGGCGAGCGUUAUCCGGAUGCACUGGGUGUAAAGGGAGCGGAGGCGGCCAUGCAAGCCAGGGGUGAAAGCCCGGGGCCCAACCCCGGGACUGCCCUUGGAACUGUGCGGCUAGAGUGCGGGAGGGGCAGGCGGAAUUCCUGGUGUAGCGGUGAAAUGCGUAGAGAUCAGGAGGAACACCGGCGGCGAAGGCGGCCUGCUGGACCGCGACUGACGUUGAGGCGCGAAAGCGUGGGGAGCGAACAGGAUUAGAUACCCCUGUAGUC
RNAcentral lists this ribosomal RNA (441 nucleotides) under uncultured bacterium. Its description in RNAcentral is "partial 16S ribosomal RNA". It matches the Rfam family "Bacterial small subunit ribosomal RNA", at positions 338 to 795 of the family's 1533-position model. The record is from RNAcentral.